GACGGUGAUUGAUUCGAAUAGACUGAUGCAUAGAUCACUUCUUUCUGAAUAGAUGAGUCUCUGGGCUACAAUGUAGAGACACUGAGUGAUGAGUGCGGAUAGUUGUUAGAGAACAACUAGUACUGAGCGUGAUCGUAUGAGAGAUCACUUAGAUUUCUACUCGAUCAUCAGUGAUUGUCUUGAUAUUGUAGUUGUGUGAAUGAUCCUUUGAUCUAUAAUGGUAUGAUUGCUCAUAGUGAGGCUGCUGGAGUUUAACUGAUACAUAAACAUGAUCUCAAUGAGCACUUAUAGUAGAUGUUGGUGACAGUUGGUUCACUAUAGGAGUAGAGUGCAUAUCAAGAUAGAAUCUAUCGAUCUUGAUAGAAAGAAGUAGUCCUAUGAGAUUUGAAAGGCUAAGUCCGAGAGUCUGUGGCCACAGCAAUG
This 423-nucleotide long non-coding RNA is filed under the name Elaeis guineensis (African oil palm). RNAcentral's name for it is "long non-coding RNA (EGUI_LNC066225)". Lineage: Eukaryota; Viridiplantae; Streptophyta; Magnoliopsida; Arecales; Arecaceae. The record is from RNAcentral.